RNAcentral lists this unclassified non-coding RNA (934 nucleotides) under Hevea brasiliensis (rubber tree). The record is from RNAcentral. Lineage: Eukaryota; Viridiplantae; Streptophyta; Magnoliopsida; Malpighiales; Euphorbiaceae.
CUUGAAAGUCUAAUAAUUAAAUUUUUAUCUCAUAAUAAUGGAAAACUAAUAAUAAAAUCCUUGCACGCUCCCCUUUCUUGAGCCACGUAGCAGAAAAACAUUUAAGGAAAAUCAUGAGAAGAUUUUGUCACGUAGUUCAUCAAUGAACCACUCCCAAACAGUUACAAGUUCGAAAAUUUACAUCCCUGUCAUCAAUGCUUAUGGUUUUCAAGACUAUGCUAGUCAGAGCUGCAUCCACACUAGCUUCUUCUCUCAAUCACCUGAAUCAGACCGACAUAACAGAGCAGCUAGAAACUCAUUCAUGAUUCUGAGAGAGCUACUUUCUGCCAUUCAUGGGGCUGUUGAUAUUAUAAAACCACCCUGCCAAGUAGGAGGAAGAAACAGCAUGAGAAAAGAAAUGCUCCAACAAAAGCUACCUAUUUCGGGCCAAGGCAUCAACGUUUUCUGAUCUUCUCUUCAAUCUAGUGGUUUGUUCCUAUAAAGGCAUAAAUUACAUCACACUUUGCACACGCUUCCACUCAAAAAGUGAGGCUGGAGACAUGAACCACAUGGCAUUUCUUACAAAAGCAUCCACACGAACACCCCACAAUUGUUAUCACUUCAUAGCGAUGGCAGCCACUGAUAUGGGAUUUUAUUUGUUCUUACCUGAACCACUAAAUUACGGAAACCAAAAGACCUAGAACCCAAUAAUGAGGAUACGACUCCACCAAUUGAACAAGGUGUCAAAAUGUUGCAGAAUGGAGCUGUAAAUCAAGAAGAAAGCAGCUGUGCAGAGCUUUUGACGAAUUUAUGAAUUGAGAAAAGAAUUUCUUAAUUGCAGAAUGAUGACAAAGAAUGAUUCCCAACUCAACUGGAUUAACAAUUUCUUCUAAAAAGAAAAAAUGGUUUAUCACUUGAUUAAAUUUAUAUGCCUAAUGCAGGCAUUCUUUUUUCU